Molecule: microRNA precursor, 89 nt
Filed under: Microtus ochrogaster (prairie vole)
Lineage: Eukaryota; Metazoa; Chordata; Mammalia; Rodentia; Cricetidae
Description: miRNA (ENSMOCG00000009931.1)
Source: RNAcentral
AUGGCUCCUGCAUCUCCAGCAUCCAUCCAGCCCUUGGCAUGUGGAAGCUACUCAGUAGAUACUGGAUAUGGGUUUGGGGGGUGUCAGAU